This 254-nucleotide ribosomal RNA is filed under the name uncultured bacterium. RNAcentral describes it as "partial 16S ribosomal RNA". It matches the Rfam family "Bacterial small subunit ribosomal RNA", at positions 524 to 776 of the family's 1533-position model. The record is from RNAcentral.
UACGUAGGGGCCUAGCGUUGUCCGGAUUUAUUGGGCGUAAAGAGCUCGUAGGCGGCUUGGUAAGUCAGGUGUGAAAUCUCCACGCUCAACGUGGAGGGGCCACCCGAAACUGCCAUGGCUUGAGUCCGGUAGGGGAGUGUGGAAUUCCCGGUGUAGCGGUGAAAUGCGCAGAUAUCGGGAGGAACACCCGUAGCGAAGGCGGCGCUCUGGGCCGGUACUGACGCUGAGGAGCGAAAGCGUGGGGAGCGAACAGG